AGAAUCAACGCUGGCGGCGUGCCUAACACAUGCAAGUCGAACGAGAAAGUGGAGCAAUCCAUGAGUAAAGUGGCGCACGGGUGAGUAACACGUGACUAACCUACCUUUUAGUGGGGGGAUAACCUAGGGAAACCUGGGCUAAUACCGCAUAACACUUACGAGUCAAAGCAGCAAUGCGCUGAAAGAGGGGGUCGCGGCCGAUUAGCUAGUUGGCGGGGUAAUGGCCCACCAAGGCAGUGAUCGGUAUCCGGCCUGAGAGGGCGCACGGACACACUGGAACUGAAACACGGUCCAGACUCCUACGGGAGGCAGCAGUGGGGAAUUUUGCGCAAUGGGGGAAACCCUGACGCAGCAACGCCGCGUGGAGGAUGAAGUCCCUUGGGACGUAAACUCCUUUCGAUCGGGACGAUAAUGACGGUACCGGAAGAAGAAGCCCCGGCUAACUCGCGCCAGCAGCCGC
RNAcentral lists this ribosomal RNA (460 nucleotides) under uncultured bacterium. RNAcentral describes it as "SSU rRNA". It matches the Rfam family "Bacterial small subunit ribosomal RNA", at positions 26 to 518 of the family's 1533-position model. The record is from RNAcentral.